AGUCGAGCGAGCUUGCCUAGAUGAUUUUAGUGCUUGCACUAAAUGAAACUAGAUACAAGCGAGCGGCGGACGGGUGAGUAACACGUGGGUAACCUGCCCAAGAGACUGGGAUAACACCUGGAAACAGAUGCUAAUACCGGAUAACAACACUAGACGCAUGUCUAGAGUUUGAAAGAUGGUUCUGCUAUCACUCUUGGAUGGACCUGCGGUGCAUUAGCUAGUUGGUAAGGUAACGGCUUACCAAGGCAAUGAUGCAUAGCCGAGUUGAGAGACUGGUCGGCCACAUUGGGACUGAGACACGGCCCAAACUCCUACGGGAGGCAGCAGUAGGGAAUCUUCCACAAUGGACGAAAGUCUGAUGGAGCAACGCCGCGUGAGUGAAGAAGGGUUUCGGCUCGUAAAGCUCUGUUGGUAGUGAAGAAAGAUAGAGGUAGUAACUGGCCUUUAUUUGACGGUAAUUACUUAGAAAGUCACGGCUAACUACGUGCCAGCAGCCGCGGUAAUACGUAGGUGGCAAGCGUUGUCCGGAUUUAUUGGGCGUAAAGCGAGUGCAGGCGGUUCAAUAAGUCUGAUGUGAAAGCCUUCGGCUCAACCGGAGAAUUGCAUCAGAAACUGUUGAACUUGAGUGCAGAAGAGGAGAGUGGAACUCCAUGUGUAGCGGUGGAAUGCGUAGAUAUAUGGAAGAACACCAGUGGCGAAGGCGGCUCUCUGGUCUGCAACUGACGCUGAGGCUCGGAAGCAUGGGUAGCGAACAGGAUUAAAUACCCUGGUAGUCCAUGCCGUAAACGAUGAGUGCUAAGUGU
RNAcentral lists this ribosomal RNA (803 nucleotides) under uncultured bacterium. RNAcentral describes it as "bacterial SSU rRNA". It matches the Rfam family "Bacterial small subunit ribosomal RNA", at positions 60 to 823 of the family's 1533-position model. The record is from RNAcentral.